UGAACGCUGGCGGUAGGCCUAACACAUGCAAGUCGAACGGCAGCACAGUAAGAGCUUGCUCUUACGGGUGGCGAGUGGCGGACGGGUGAGGAAUACAUCGGAAUCUACUUUUUCGUGGGGGAUAACGUAGGGAAACUUACGCUAAUACCGCAUACGACCUACGGGUGAAAGCAGGGGAUCUUCGGACCUUGCGCGAUUGAAUGAGCCGAUGUCGGAUUAGCUAGUUGGCGGGGUAAAGGCCCACCAAGGCGACGAUCCGUAGCUGGUCUGAGAGGAUGAUCAGCCACACUGGAACUGAGACACGGUCCAGACUCCUACGGGAGGCAGCAGUGGGGAAUAUUGGACAAUGGGCGCAAGCCUGAUCCAGCCAUACCGCGUGGGUGAAGAAGGCCUUCGGGUUGUAAAGCCCUUUUGUUGGGAAAGAAAAGCAGCAGGUUAAUACCCCGCUGUUCCGACGGUACCCAAAGAAUAAGCACCGGCUAACUUCGUG
This 490-nucleotide ribosomal RNA is filed under the name uncultured bacterium. RNAcentral describes it as "partial 16S ribosomal RNA". It matches the Rfam family "Bacterial small subunit ribosomal RNA", at positions 30 to 507 of the family's 1533-position model. The record is from RNAcentral.